This 200-nucleotide ribosomal RNA is filed under the name uncultured bacterium. RNAcentral's name for it is "partial 16S ribosomal RNA". It matches the Rfam family "Bacterial small subunit ribosomal RNA", at positions 30 to 242 of the family's 1533-position model. The record is from RNAcentral.
AUUGAACGCUGGCGGCAGGCCUAACACAUGCAAGUCGAGCGGGGUUUUCGGACCUAGCGGCGGACGGGUGAGUAAUGCGUAGGAAGCUGCCCGAUAGAGGGGGAUACCAGUUGGAAACGACUGUUAAUACCGCAUAAUAUCUACGGACCAAAGUGUGGGACCUUCGGGCCACAUGCUAUCGGAUGCGCCUACGUGGGAUU